Molecule: transfer RNA, 75 nt
Filed under: bacterium
Lineage: Bacteria
Description: tRNA-Trp
Rfam family: tRNA
About the family: Transfer RNA (tRNA) molecules are approximately 80 nucleotides in length.
Source: RNAcentral
GGGCCUAUAGUUUCAAUGGUAAAACAUCUGUCUCCAAAACCGAGGUUGCAGGUUCGAGUCCUGCUGGGCCCGCCA